Molecule: ribosomal RNA, 429 nt
Filed under: Chloroflexota bacterium
Lineage: Bacteria; Bacillati; Chloroflexota
Description: Chloroflexi bacterium partial 16S ribosomal RNA
Rfam family: Bacterial small subunit ribosomal RNA
Source: RNAcentral
UGGGGAAUAUUGCACAAUGGGCGCAAGCCUGAUGCAGCCAUGCCGCGUGUGUGAAGAAGGCCUUCGGGUUGUAAAGCACUUUCAGCGGGGAGGAAGGCGUUAAGGUUAAUAACCUUGGCGAUUGACGUUACCCGCAGAAGAAGCACCGGCUAACUCCGUGCCAGCAGCCGCGGUAAUACGGAGGGUGCAAGCGUUAAUCGGAAUUACUGGGCGUAAAGCGCACGCAGGCGGUCUGUCAAGUCGGAUGUGAAAUCCCCGGGCUCAACCUGGGAACUGCAUUCCAAACUGGCAGGCUAGAGUCUUGUAGAGGGGGGUAGAAUUCCAGGUGUAGCGGUGAAAUGCGUAGAGAUCUGGAGGAAUACCGGUGGCGAAGGCGGCCCCCUGGACGAAGACUGACGCUCAGGUGCGAAAGCGUGGGGAGCAAACAGG